RNAcentral lists this ribosomal RNA (416 nucleotides) under uncultured bacterium. Its description in RNAcentral is "bacterial SSU rRNA". It matches the Rfam family "Bacterial small subunit ribosomal RNA", at positions 97 to 528 of the family's 1533-position model. The record is from RNAcentral.
GGCAAACGGGAGAGUAACACAUUGGUAACUUACCCUGGGGAUGGGAAUAACCCGCCGAAAGGCGGGAUAAUACCCAAUAACAGUGGGGGGACUCAAGUCAUUCCCACUUAAAGCUCCGACGCCCCGGGAGAGGCCUAUGUCCUAUCAGCUUGUUGGUGAGGUAAAAGCUCACCAAGGCGACGACGGGUAGCCGGUGUGAGAGCAUGACCCGCCUCACUGGGACUGAGACACUGCCCAGACUCCUACGGGAGGCUGCAGUCAAGAAUCUUCCUCAAUGGCCGAAAGGCUGAAGGAGCGACGCCGCGUGCAAGAUGAAGCCCUUCGGGGCGUAAAUUGCUUUUCUCUGGGACGAAUCCAUGACUGUACCAGAGGAAUAAGGAGCCGCUAACCUCGUGCCAGCAGCGGCGGUAAUACGA